This is a small nucleolar RNA of Pteronotus mesoamericanus, 72 nucleotides long. RefSeq annotates it as small nucleolar RNA SNORD113/SNORD114 family. Lineage: Eukaryota; Metazoa; Chordata; Mammalia; Chiroptera; Mormoopidae. The record is from RefSeq and is a predicted model, not a curated record. The transcript has a single exon.
AGGAUCUCCGAUGACUCCUGGUGGCGUCUGCAUCAUGGGCGACGGCUCCGUGUCUGGGACUCUGAGGUCCGA